AGUGAACGCUGGCGGUAGGCCUAACACAUGCAAGUCGAACGGCAGCACAGUAAGAGCUUGCUCUUACGGGUGGCGAGUGGCGGACGGGUGAGGAAUACAUCGGAAUCUACUUUUUCGUGGGGGAUAACGUAGGGAAACUUACGCUAAUACCGCAUACGACCUACGGGUGAAAGCAGGGGAUCUUCGGACCUUGCGCGAUUGAAUGAGCCGAUGUCGGAUUAGCUAGUUGGCGGGGUAAAGGCCCACCAAGGCGACGAUCCGUAGCUGGUCUGAGAGGAUGAUCAGCCACACUGGAAAUGAGACAAGGUCCAGACUCCUAAGGGAGGCAGCAGUGGGGAAUAUUGGACAAUGGGCGCAAGCCUGAUCCAGCCAUACCGCGUGGGUGAAGAAGGCCUUCGGGUUGUAAAGCCCUUUUGUUGGGAAAGAAAAGCAGCAGGUUAAUACCCCGCUGUUCUGACGGUACCCAAAGAAUAAGCACCGGCUAACUUCGUG
This 492-nucleotide ribosomal RNA is filed under the name uncultured bacterium. Its description in RNAcentral is "partial 16S ribosomal RNA". It matches the Rfam family "Bacterial small subunit ribosomal RNA", at positions 29 to 507 of the family's 1533-position model. The record is from RNAcentral.